This 2601-nucleotide long non-coding RNA is filed under the name Strigops habroptila (Kakapo). Its description in RNAcentral is "lncRNA (ENSSHBG00005000713.1)". Lineage: Eukaryota; Metazoa; Chordata; Aves; Psittaciformes; Psittacidae. The record is from RNAcentral.
GAUUUUAUAGAAUAUUUUAAUACAUGGAAAAAAAGGAUAUGAUCAAAUUUAAUCCAACAAGGUAACGCAUAGACAAGGCGUGUGCCUGAUCUGGAACAUGUGAAUGAUCAGCCACAGAAGCCACCAAGAAAGGUUUUCCUGUUGAGACAAAGAUCCGAGGUUGACUUGAGCCAUAAAAAAGGAACAUCUGUUCAGGCCUGUAGCUGGUGUUUUUAGGACAGCUCUGCUUGGCCUCAGGCUGGCAUCACUUUGAACCUGAACCUGAUCCGCAGCACCUAGUCAUGGGGGGACUUGGACGGGCCCAGUGAGCAUCAGAAUGUUUUGUUUCCUCCCAGGUUUCCUCCUGUGAUAAGCAGGCUGCAGAGGAAGCAAGAAGGAGGCAGUUUCAGCAACACAGUCUAGGGAUUUCAGAAGGGCUGAGCUUCUGUUCAGACUCCAUCUGAAGAGGACAGAGGUGACUGGGAGAUGGCCUGACUUCAAAUACUUUUCCUUAUUCUGCUGAUGCUCUUGUAAGAACAAGAAGCAAUCCCUUGUAAGUCACAAGGAGGACAGUGACUCUCCCCUCUGUGUUUCUGUAGGCAUCGUGGAUGACAUGGGCUGUGGAAGAAGGUCUGCCUCUGCCCCACACCAGGCAGCUGGCCUCAGCCAACAAAAGAGCCCAAACAAGAACCUCUCCGUGGUUCAGAAACCGGGUGUGCUGCCUUCUAGGUUGGGGUGUGCAAAGUAAGGGGAGGGUGAAGAAAGAGGCAGCAGUUGAACCUUCCCUCUCUCAUUUCAAUGUCUGUGUCCAUAGGCUGACUGGUUAGAGAAAAAUUGGGAAGUGGGGUGAAGCGGCUCCAGCCCUCUUCCUCUUUAGCCCAGGGGAGUUUGAGCUUUGAGGUACCAGGGUAAUUCUGAUCCUUCAGAUUUGCAACUGUGUUUAUCCCAUUAAACCAGAUUAGACCAGAAAUUUAGCCAGCCGUGGUCCAUGCUUCUCCUCUGAUGGGGAAAUCUAAAUCCUUUGCUUGAUUUCACCAGCAAUAAGAGCCUGCACCUAAUUGGCUUUGGUCUCACCCUGCAGUUGCAGCAUCACUGAACAAGUCUUGGGGCUAGCGGGCACCUUGAUUUUUGGGGCACCACUGAUUUAAGGCAGCCAAAGCGGGACGCAGACAGUCAGGAGCUGUUGGGUGAACACAGCACUGAGAAGCUACAGCCUUUACCUCUAGAGCAAAUAUGUCCUUUGACUCUUUUUUGGUCUUUUGUUUUCCCUUUUAGGCCAAGAGGUGUCUCCAGCCACCUCGCUCUAAAGAGUCAGGUGCUCAGCUUUUCUAAAACCCAUUACACGUAUCCAGCCUUCCUCUGCUCCCAGCUCUCAUGAUGUCCCUCCAGCCCUCAGAGGGAAAGCAGGACUUCAUGCAGCAGUGCUAAAACCCUUACUAUUGUUAUCACAGUAACAACCCAUGUCCAUAGAACUCCCUCUCUCCCCCAACAAUGGCUGACAGUUGGGUUUUUAUACCAAAUUGUUUGCAAAAACCUUGACACAUGCCUGUAACUUGGAUGUUGCUGCCAGCAUCCCUGGGCACUCUUGUUUCAACAUGCUUCGGUGGCUCAGAGUUCAGAGGUAAUCAGCUUUGGUCUUCCUUAAAGGGUCAGGGCAACUCCAGAAAUGGUCUUUUUCUACUAGCUACAUACAACAACUACUAUGUGUGAGUGUGUGGUGGGAGGGGUGCAUGUGUGUGUAUAGAUUUUAUAUAUAUCUAUAUAUACACUUUUAUAUAUAGUAUACAGUUAUACACAUACGUAGUCUAUUUAUGCACAUGUUUAAGCACGCGCACACACACACAUAUUUAUAUCUAUAUAUCCUCAGUUUCGAAUACAUGCCAAUUUUGACCCUCCUUUAGGCCUGUUGGGCAAGUGAGAUUUAUAGCAUAGAGAUGCUGCUUUUCCAAAUAUGUACAGGUUCAUCUUGAAACCAAAUCAGUUGCUGGAAUUAAAGCAGACUCAGACCCUCUCAUGCUCUCAUAGAUAUGAGGCAGUUCCUAGGAGGAAGAACCACUAUGUCCUUUGAAGUUUUAUAUUGUUUUAGCAACAUUUCUCCUUCCACAUGCUAGAGGGCCCCUAGAAUGAGCAUCUCAAGAGGUUGGGAGCUGAGCUGAUUGGGUCCAGGCUAUCUAACAGAAGUAGUUGGGAAAAGUCUUCAGCCCAGCAAUGCCAAGCCCUCAUGGAUGACUGUCCUGUGACUGCUGCAUUGGUACUUGAAUCUCAACAACCCCUGUGGACACUGACAAAUGGAGGUGCACAGAAACUCCCCGAGGGCUGUCUCUAUCUCUGUGUGUUCCAUCCACUAGUCUGGUGAAGAUCCUUCUUCGGUUGGGUUACUCUGCUUUGUUUCUCACGGGGAUACUGUUUGAUUUGCCAGGUCUUAGCAGUGCAGUAGCCAAUCUUGAGUUAUUCCGACUGGACCUCAGUCAGCACUAGGCUUGUCUCAGUAGGUGGAACUAUAUUUAUUAUUACUGGGUUUUUUUGGUUGAUUUGGGGGGAAGGGAGGGAAGAGUUCUCGGGCUGGGGUUUGCAAUAUAAAGCACACAAUAAAAACCUUAGUAAAUAAAAAUGUGAAAAACC